CCCACGUUCGGAUUGCAGCCUGCAACUCGGCUGCAUGAAGCCGGAAUCGCUAGUAAUCGCGGAUCAGAACGCCGCGGUGAAUACGUUCCCGGGUCUUGUACACACCGCCCGUCACACCAUGGGAGUCGGGAACGCCCGAAGUCGGUGCCCCAACCGCAAGGAGGGAGCCGCCGAAGGCAGGCCCGGCGACUGGGGUGAAGUCGUAACAAGGUAUC
RNAcentral lists this ribosomal RNA (215 nucleotides) under uncultured bacterium. RNAcentral's name for it is "partial 16S ribosomal RNA". It matches the Rfam family "Bacterial small subunit ribosomal RNA", at positions 1286 to 1500 of the family's 1533-position model. The record is from RNAcentral.